UUAAGUAAGGAAGGGCGUACGGCGAAUGCCUUGCCACUCGAAACUGAAGAAGGACGCGCCAAACUGCGAAAAGCUCCGUGAAGCUGUAAGGAAGCGAAGAAGCGGAGGUGUCCGAAUGGGGGAACCCGGCAGCAGACAUGAGCUGUCAUCUGCAGGUGAAUACAUGGCCUGCAAGAGAGGUACCCGGCGAACUGAAACAUCUAAGUAGCCGGAGGAAAAGAAAACAACAGUGAUUCCCUGAGUAGCGGCGAGCGAAAGGGGAGAAGCCCAAACCGGUUGAAGGACCGGGGUUGAAGGACCAUGACAUGGCAAGAACGAGGAUAGGAGAACGGGAUCGAAAGCCCGGCCGAAGAAGGUGAAAGCCCUGUAACCGAAAUCCGAGUAAAGCCUAAUGGGAUCCUGAGUACGGCGAGACACGAGAAAUCUUGUCGGAAGCAGGCGGGACCAUCCGCCAAGGCUAAAUAUAAACGAGUGAGCGAUAGUGAACCAGUACCGUGAGGGAAAGGUGAAAAGAACCGCGGGAGCGGAGUGAAAGAGAACCUGAAACCGUAUGCCUACAAGAAGUCAGAGCCCGUUAAGGGGUGAUGGCGUGCCUUUUGUAGAAUGAACCGGCGAGUUGCGACAGACUGCGAGGUUAAGGAGGAAAGACCGGAGCCGAAGCGAAAGCGAGUCUUAAGAGGGCGAAAGUAGGAUGUUGCAGACCCGAAACCGGGUGAUCUAGCCAUGAGCAGGUUGAAGUUGAGGUGAAACUCAAUGGAGGACCGAACCGACUACCGUUGAAAAGUUAGCGGAUGACUUGUGGCUAGGGGAGAAAUUCCAAUCGAACCCGGAGAUAGCUGGUUCUCCCCGAAAUAGCUUUAGGGCUAGCGUCGGAAAGAACCUUAGUGAAGGUAGAGCACUGAAUGUGUGAUGGCCCCAUCCCGGGGUACUGAAUACAAUCAAACUGCGAAUGUCAUUAAGGAUGUCCGGCAGUCAGACUGUGAGUGAUAAGGUCCAUGGUCAAGAGGGAAACAGCCCAGACCGCCAGUUAAGGUCCCAAAAUACAGGCUAAGUGGAAAAGGAUGUGGGGAUGCCCAGACAACUAGGAGGUUGGCUCAGAAGCAGCCAUCCUUUAAAGAGUGCGUAACAGCUCACUAGUCGAGUGACCCUGCGCCGAAAAUGUACCGGGGCUAAGCCUGAUACCGAAACUGCGGAUUGUAGGAAACUAUAGUGGUAGGGGAGCGUUGUAUACGAGCAGAAGCCGUACCGUGAGGAGCGGUGGAUUGUAUAGAAGUGAGAAUGCCGGUGUGAGUAGCGAGAUGUAGGUGAGAAUCCUACACACCGAAAGCCCAAGGAUUCCAGGGGAAGGUUCGUCCGCCCUGGGUAAGUCGGGACCUAACGCGAGGCCGAAAGGCGUAGUGGAUGGAAAGCAGGCGAAAGAUUCCUGCACCCGUAUAUGGAGCGAAGGAGUGACGGAGACGGAUAGUGUGACCCUCUUAAUGGAUUGAGGGCGAAGCGAAGCGGCUGGUUACCAGGCAAAUCCGGUAACCAUAAGGCUAGAGCGUGACAGGUAAGCGAAAUCUUAGGAAAGUAGCGAAGCACAUGAUGACGGCUUCCAGGAAAAGCUUCUGGCAAUGCAUAUGCGGCCCGUACCAAAACCGACACAGGUGGGCAGGGAGAGAAUCCCGAGGUGAGCGAGAGAACUGUUGCCAAGGAACUCGGCAAAAUGACUCCGUAAGUUAGCGAGAAGGAGUGCUUAAGCAAUUAAGCCGCAGUGAAGAGGCCCAAGCGACUGUUUAACUAAAACACAGCUCUCUGCGAAGUCGCAAGACGAAGUAUAGGGGGUGACACCUGCCCGGUGCUGGAAGGUUAAGAGGAUCUGUUAAGAGCGAUCUGAAGCAGUGAUCCGAAGCCCCAGUGAACGGCGGCCGUAACUAUAACGGUCCUAAGGUAGCGAAAUUCCUUGUCAGGUAAG
This 1954-nucleotide ribosomal RNA is filed under the name human gut metagenome. RNAcentral describes it as "bacterial LSU rRNA". It matches the Rfam family "Bacterial large subunit ribosomal RNA", at positions 3 to 1980 of the family's 2925-position model. The record is from RNAcentral.